Molecule: ribosomal RNA, 371 nt
Filed under: uncultured bacterium
Lineage: Bacteria
Description: bacterial SSU rRNA
Rfam family: Bacterial small subunit ribosomal RNA
Source: RNAcentral
AUUGAACGCUGGCGGCGUGCUUAACACAUGCAAGUCGUGCGGUAACAGGCGUAGCAAUACGUGCUGACGAGCGGCGAACGGGUGCGUAAUACAUGGGAAUCUGGCCUUUUAGUGGGGAAUAACCCGGCGAAAGCCGGGCUAAUGCCGCAUAAGAUCUUCGGAUGAAAGCGGGGGAUCGUAAGACCUCGCGCUGAUAGAUGAGCCCAUGCCGGAUUAGCAGUUGGUGAGGUAACGGCUCACCAAGGCGACGAUCCGUAGCUGGUCUGAGAGGACGGCCAGCCACACUGGGACUGAGACACGGCCCAGACUCCUACGGGAGGCAGCAGUGGGGAAUAUUGGACAAUGGGCGCAAGCCUGAUCCAGCGAUGCCG